AUCUGUGGUCAUACCACUCUGAAAGCACCCAAUGUCAUCUGAUCUUAGAUGUGCAACAGGAUCAGGCCUGAUCAGUUUGUGGACUGGGGGUU
Molecule: ribosomal RNA, 92 nt
Filed under: Ochotona princeps (American pika)
Lineage: Eukaryota; Metazoa; Chordata; Mammalia; Lagomorpha; Ochotonidae
Source: RNAcentral